Long non-coding RNA from Chelonoidis abingdonii (Abingdon island giant tortoise), 1237 nucleotides. RefSeq lists it as uncharacterized. NCBI's taxonomy places the organism in Eukaryota, Metazoa, Chordata, Testudines, Testudinidae. The record is from RefSeq and is a predicted model, not a curated record.
AAGAACUUGGGCUUGAGCCCUCUGCUCCUCAGGAGCCAGAAGACUAUUUAAACGGGAAUAAUAAUGCUACCUACAAAGGAAAACUGAAAGCAGCAGGCUGUGUGUGCAAGCAGGCGGGAGGGGCCAGGCGGCACUGACGGACAGGAGGUUACGCCAGCCGUGCUGGGGUUUGGUGGCUCAAGGGGACCCAUGGAGACCAGGGGGCUGCUGGGAGAAGCAGGGAGGAGUGGACAUUCUCUGCUGCAACAGCUACAGGGUUAGGAGUGGAGGUUCGAUUCUGAUUGGCACUUGCCUCCUUUGGAAAUGACCUUCCGUGAUGAAACAGUCUGUGGCGUGAGCUCAUCAGGACGGCAUCUGAAGGGACUUUGGAGAGAGGACCUCAGAGUGCUCCAUCUAUCUAACGGCUUCACCUGAUCAUCCAUAUAAACCAUGUGCAUCGGCUUCCUAAUGAGCACCUUUCUUGGCAGGGGAUGACUGAGGGGCUUCAGUUUUACAGUGGUUCACAUUCUGAGCUCCUCCCCUCACACACACUCUGGAUUUACAGGGGGUGAGUGAAAGCAGGAUCUGGCCUACUGGGUAUGAAGAAGUCAGGAAGCAGGUGUAAACAGCAAACCCAAUUAGCAGUCACAGGGAAAGGGUGGUUUGCCACCACCCUGUCCUUCCCAGCCAGGCAGAGUGAGCACAAAAGGCCAGCACAGGAGCGUGGUGGCCUGGGAUGCCCGCGUUGCACUGGUGCAGGGUGCAGGGCAGUGGCAAAUUGGGCCAUGGGUGUGUAAAGCCAACAGUGUCUACACUACAUUCAGCCUGGUGGAAAUGCCCAGAGACCUGUGGGCAUGUCCUCUCAUGUCAAGGCUGGAUUUGGCCCUGCUGGGCAGGGUGGGGGCAGCACACACUUUCCAGCCAGUAGCUGCCUGGAGUCUCAGCCCAUUUUGUCCACACACCUUGGGCCAGAGUCAUCCCGGGUCCAAUUCUAGGGGAGCCCUUUGCCCUGCUGCUGCUCUCAUGCACUCCCAUGGGAAUGACGCCUCUGGAGCCCACGGAGUCACCCCAGCAUCACUCGGGAUUUACAGCAGCCUGAGUGAGAGCGGGACUGGGCUCCGCGGAGUCACAUGGAGAAUGAAUUUGGCCCUAAUUAUUUCCCUAAAGCAGCCUCAAGAGCCACUGUAGUUUUUCAGCCACACCAUCAGAGGCUCUUUCACCUGCACAUCUACCAAUGUGAUAUUUGCCAUCAAGUGCC